Molecule: long non-coding RNA, 2076 nt
Filed under: Nicotiana benthamiana
Lineage: Eukaryota; Viridiplantae; Streptophyta; Magnoliopsida; Solanales; Solanaceae
Description: long non-coding RNA (NBEN_LNC013167)
Source: RNAcentral
GAAGAAGUUUAUGCUAUACAGAUUACAGUACCAUUUUACAGAUUACACCAUCAAUAUCACAAAGCAAACUGUACUCUAGAUUUUUCAUAUAAAAGGAAGGUAUUCAAUACAAGGGCAAUUACAAUAUUGAUGAACCAAACAACCUGAAAAACAAUCAGUUUACCCCUUAUUAGAUCAAUCACUGUGAUUGCGCUUCAAGUUAGAAGGCGAAGGAGGAGAAGAAACCAAAUGCCUCCAAAGAUACUUUCCACUAGCCAUAUCUACGCAGGUCCAAAAUCCUUUCCCAAUGGCGCUGCACACCUGAUAAUUACAAACAAGCCAGCAAAUUACAAUUAAAAUUGAGCAAACAAAAAAUAGGGAAGAUGUGAACCUAAGAAAAUAUGGAUACUUGGGAGGAGAGAGGAACCGAAUUUGAGUCUCUGGAUAAAUCGUCGUGACUGUUGUCGGCGCCGGCGCCGGCAACAUCGUCGUCGGGAUCAACAUUAGGCUGAGAUUUGAGGUUCCGGAGAACGAAGAAUCCGGCGAGAGUUGCAGAAAGGAAGAUGAGAAUGAUCCUAAGGGGACACAUUCGGUUUGUUUCUCUCUCUAUACGAAGUUUGAGGUUUUCAGAGAGAGAAAGUUUUAAUAAUCAGAGAGGAAAGAGGGAAAUGAUGAAAUGAAGAAGGCAAGCUGAGGUGGAAAGUGGAUAAUUUUUGUAUUUUUACUCUAAAUAUAGUAUUUAUUUUAAUUAUUAUUUAUAUUAUAUUAUAUUGUUAAAUAUCGUUAUUAAUAAUAAAAAGUAUUAUUUAAAAAAAUUAUUUUGUGUCUCAUAUAACUGACACUAGUUAUGUGAGACAUUUUUCUAUCUUACAACUAUGUGGGUCUCAGAAUUUUAUUGACUCAUAUGUAUAAGAUACGGGUCCACAAAUAUAUGACAUAAAAAAAUGUCUUACACAACUAGUGUUAGUUGUAUAAGACACAUAAUAAAAUCACUCGUCAUUUUAUGUAACGGUCAAAUUGAUGUGGUUUCGUCAUUACCUUUUUUUCUCAUCUUAUCAUUAUUAUUAAGUAACUAGUAGUCGUACUAGCGCGAUGCACAGUCAAUAUUAAAAACUAUUAAUUAAAUUAAAUUAUAAUCGGACUUGUUUGAUCCAAUUGAUUUUAUUGCUUUCAUAAAAUUUAAUUAUCAUCUUACUUGUCAAUAGGAUAUACCCAAUAAUGAAAUCUCUAUUAAAUCAAAGUUACUUAUAUAGUUACUGAAUAACUUUUUUAUUCUAUAUAUUAACCAAUAUUUAAUAUUCGCUUUUUUUUGUCAUAUAUGAGAAGAUUUAUAUUACUGUUGAAUUAUUUUUUUAGUUUAAAUUUAAAAUUCUAUUGUUCUUAGUAAUAUUAUCUAAAUUUUAAGAAAUAAAAUCUUUGUUAAACUAACGGAACUUAUGUAGGGAGCGGAUUGAAUAACUUUUUUGUUAUGUAUUUUCUUUUAUCAUUUCAUCUAAUAUUUAAUAUUAUUACAUGGUUAAUAAAAAGUUUUAUUAGCAUAUUAACUUAUAAAAAAUUUUCUCUUAAACUUUUUUUAUGUCUUUAUAUUCGUUUUACUUAUUUUAAGAUAAUUCUAAAACUCCAGCUUGAAACUAAUCCCCAAUUUGAAUAGGUAAUUUAUUAUUUUUUUAAUUUUAUUUUUUAUUGUAAAACUCUAACUUAAAACUACAUCCCGAUUUGAAUGGGUAGUUUUUCUUCUCUUUCUUUCUUUCUUAUAGCUAAUUCUUUUUCUUUUAAUUUAAGAUAAUUUAUAAACUCCAACUUGAAACUACUCCCACCGAAUUUGAAUGGGUAGUUAUUAUUUUAUAUAUUUAAUUUUUUAAUUAUAUUUAAUUAUAAGAUAUCUAUAUUUAUUAAUUCAAACAAAGUAACCAAUUUUUAUAUAUAUAUAUUUUUACAGAUUACACCAUCAAUAUCACAAAGCAAACUGUACUCUAGAUUUUUCAUAUAAAAGGAAGGUAUUCAAUACAAGGGCAAUUACAAUAUUGAUGAACCAAACAACCUGAAAAACAAUCAGUUUACCCCUUAUUAGAUCAAUCACUGUGAUUGCGCUUCAAG